Myotis brandtii (Brandt's bat) is the source of this 1171-nucleotide RNA transcript. It is a transcript of the gene named ras-related protein Rab-2B pseudogene, with no coding region annotated. The transcript has a single exon. The record is from RefSeq and is a predicted model, not a curated record. Lineage: Eukaryota; Metazoa; Chordata; Mammalia; Chiroptera; Vespertilionidae.
CAUUUGGAAGGAUUCCUUCCAGUUUCCUUUAAAUUCUAUAUAUCUCUCAUACCAUUUCUCAUUUUCAGUUCUGUGAUCUCACCCUUCAGAUUGAAAGCUCCUUAAAAAUGAGAUCCACGACUGUUCCCGGCCACAUGAAGGCUAGAAUGUGCAUCCUCCUCUUUGAGGUGUGGGGAAGUCAUGUCUCCUCCUGCAGUUUACGGACAAGCGGUUCCAGCCUGUCCACAACCUCACCAUAGGUGUGGAGUUUGGGGCCCGUAUGGUCAACAUUGAUGGGAAACAAAUCAAACUGCAAAUCUGGGAUACAGUUGGGCAAGAAACUUUCCGUUCUAUCACCCAUUCCUACUACAGGGGAGCAGCUGGAAUACUGCUGGUGUACGACAUCACAAGGCAUGAAAACUUCAACCACCUGACCUCAUGGUUAGAGGAUGCCCGGCAGCACUCUAGUUCCAACAUGGUUAUCAUGCUGAUUGGGAAUAAGAGUGACUUAGAGUCCCACAGGGAUGUGAAGAAAGAAGAAGGAGAGGCUUUUGCUCGGGAGCGUGGACUUAGGUCCUUUACGGAGCAUGGACUUAUAUUCAUGGAAACUUCAGCCAAAACAGCCUGCAAUGUUGAAGAGGCCUUCAUUAACACAGCCAAAGAAAUAUAUAGGAAGAUCCAGCAGGGUUUAUUUGAUGUCCACAAUGAGGCAAAUGGCAUCAAGAUCGGUCCUCAACAAUGUAUUUCAACAUCAGUGGCACCCAUUGCCUCCCAGCAGAACUCUGGUGACAUAGAGUCCAACUCUGGCUGCUGCUGAAUGUCUGGCCUGGACGCUUUUUUUUCCUUCCUGGAACAGCUUCAGAUCAAUAGGCUUAAAGAGGUCUUAUUAACUUUGGCUGAGUAAAGCCUCUUUUCAAGGUGUGAUGUUUUGCCUUUCCACUUAAAGACCGGGGAAAAUUUGGGCCCUUACUGACCUGUCCCUUCUUCGGGGACGUGAGCAUUCCUUAUAGAUUAGGGCUCUUCUUAUACUCCUACUUUAAUUACUAAAAUGUUAGUAUCAAAGUUGAUUGUCAUGGCAAUGAAAAAAUAAAUUAUUUUAGAAGUAUUAAAAAAAAUGGGAUCCACAUCAGUCAUCUUUAUUCUCCUAAAGUUCCUUGCACAUAGUACUUUGUUGAAUAAAUGUUACCUGUUA